CGAAUGACUCCUGGCAAUGGAUAUCUUGGCUCUCGUGUCGAUGAAGAACGUAGCGAAAUGCGACACUUGGUGUGAAUUGCAGAAUCCCGUGAACCAUCGAGUUUUUGAAUGCAAGUUGCGCACGAGGCCAUUAGGUCGAGUGCACGUCUGUUUGGGCGUCAUAU
RNAcentral lists this ribosomal RNA (164 nucleotides) under Allium iranicum. RNAcentral describes it as "5.8S ribosomal RNA". It matches the Rfam family "5.8S ribosomal RNA". From Rfam's summary of the family: 5.8S ribosomal RNA (5.8S rRNA) is a component of the large subunit of the eukaryotic ribosome. It is transcribed by RNA polymerase I as part of the 45S precursor that also contains 18S and 28S rRNA. Lineage: Eukaryota; Viridiplantae; Streptophyta; Magnoliopsida; Asparagales; Amaryllidaceae. The record is from RNAcentral.